UUAAAUAAAUGAUGGAUAUUGAUGGUGAUAACUACACGGUUUGGUAGGAAGGAGAGUCGAAUGAGUUGCUUCUCACGAAGUUCAAAACUGCAUCUUCUGAGGCGGUGGCGACCAGGGUGGCGUCUCUGAGGACUCAAUAUGCCAGACUGAGGAAGUCCAAAUCAAACCGGAGCGAGAAGAAGCCCCUCACGAUGAGGCAGCGCUGGCUCCUGAGGGCCCUCGACUUCCUGAAGCCACACAUCGUUCAUCGGCGAAGCGAGAACACUCUGGGUUUGCCGUCCUCUGAA
Molecule: long non-coding RNA, 287 nt
Organism: Cyprinus carpio (common carp)
Lineage: Eukaryota; Metazoa; Chordata; Actinopteri; Cypriniformes; Cyprinidae
Exons: 3
Source: RefSeq, a predicted model, not a curated record